Molecule: ribosomal RNA, 254 nt
Filed under: uncultured bacterium
Lineage: Bacteria
Description: partial 16S ribosomal RNA
Rfam family: Bacterial small subunit ribosomal RNA
Source: RNAcentral
UACGUAGGGGGCGAGCGUUACCCGGAUUUACUGGGCGUAAAGCGCGUGUAGGCGGCUGGCCAAGCGUGGUGUGAAAUCUUCGGGCUUAACCCGAAAACUGCAUUGCGAACUGGUCUGGCUAGAGUGUGUGAGAGGGUAGUGGAAUUCCCGGUGUAGCGGUGAAAUGCGUAGAUAUCGGGAAGAACACCCGUGGCGAAGGCGGCACUCUGGGACGGUACUGACGCUGAGACGCGAAAGCGUGGGGAGCGAACAGG